UAUCUUUUGGUGUCUAGCACGUAAAGUUUUGAACUUUAAAGAAAUAUUAGUUAAAGAUAG
This 60-nucleotide transfer RNA is filed under the name Portunion sinensis. RNAcentral describes it as "tRNA-Gln". The record is from RNAcentral. RNAcentral also lists the same sequence under 1 other name. Lineage: Eukaryota; Metazoa; Arthropoda; Malacostraca; Isopoda; Entoniscidae.